This is a non-coding RNA of Salmo salar (Atlantic salmon), 5444 nucleotides long. The record is from RefSeq and is a predicted model, not a curated record. NCBI's taxonomy places the organism in Eukaryota, Metazoa, Chordata, Actinopteri, Salmoniformes, Salmonidae.
UCCUACGUCACUCUGGGAUAAACUGCGAUCACUCAUUCGAACUACGCUGUUAGCGGUGUUUCAGGGCUGAUAGGCACCUACAGCUUCAGGAAACUAUCGCAAAAAUAUAUAUAUCAAAUACAACGUACAUAAUCGUGUUAUUUGAUCGGUUUGGGUAAUGGCAAUAAUUUAACAGAGUUUUGAACGCAACGCGUUUCCGAAUGCGACUACCAACUUCCAAGCGAUGUAAUCGCCACUGAAAACUUUCAUUUCAAGAAGGCCUUGUAUUUAUUAUUAUUUUUUUUUUUUACAACAGGUCCACGGCAUAUGCGGAUAGGAGACUGAUUAGGCUACACAGCCUACGAAAUACAUGUAGUUAUAUUUGGUUUAUUUUACAGCCAAAGUUACUUAAGUUACUUACUUUCAAUAACAAGAAGAGACAACUCAUCGACUGGUUUAUCGGACAGGCUACGGGACAGGAUCAGGAUUAAAAAGCAAUCGGAACGCCUCCAGUUUUCCUCGAAACUACGAGCCAAGGAAUUCCAAAUCUGGUUAAAUGCGGUACGAGGCUAAAAUGAUGCCGAUGUUCCUGACAGUCUACCUCAGUAACAAUGACCAGCAUUUUACAGAGGUGCCCGUUAUCCCAGAGACACUGUGCCGGGACGUGGUGGAGCUAUGUAAGGAGCCCGGAGAGACUGAAUGCCACCUGGCUGAGAUGUGGCGUGGAUCUGAGCGACCUAUAGGAGUCGGGGAGCGGAUGCUGGACGUGCUCCAGCAUUGGGGGCAGCACAGGGCAGAGGUGCGCUUCUACCUGCGCCAUGACCGAGCGCCCAGCAGAGAAUCUGGUGGCUCACGAGGAUCAGACUCCAAGAGGAAUGGAGUGAAGAGCACCUGGGAUAGACGGAUGGAGAACGGGGUGUCGGCCCCACGGAUGGACAUGACUCUGGCUGAGCUGCAGGAGAUGGCUGCCAGACAGCAGCAGCAGAUAGACGCACAGCAACAUCUCCUCGCCUCCAAGGAGCAGCGCCUGCGCUACCUGAAGCAGCAGGAGGAGAGGCAGCAGCAGCAGCAGCAGCAGCAGGCAUCGGACCAGGAGAAGCUGCGGCGUCUCAGAGAGAACGUGGAGAACCAGGAAACCAGGCUCAAGAAGGUCCGGGCCCUCAAGGGCCACGUGGAGCAGAAACGCCUCAGCAACGGCAAGCUGGUGGAGGAGAUAGAGCAGAUGAAUGGUCUGUUCCAACAGAAGCAGAGAGAGCUAGUGGUGGCUGUGUCCAAGGUGGAGGAGCUCAACAGACAGCUGGAGAUGCUUAAGAACGGCAAGAUGGACGGCUUCAAAGACAACCAGAGCUCUGUGGCUGAACUGGACCACCUCUACAAGGAGCUGCAGCUGCGUAACAAGCUUAACCAGGAGCAGAAUGCCAAGCUGCAGCAUCAGAGAGACAGUCUGAACAAGCGCAACCUGGAGGUGGCCUCUAUGGACAAACGCGUCAGUGAGCUCCGAGACCGCCUCUGGAAGAAGAAGGCCGCUCUGCAGCAGAAAGAGAACCUGCCGCCACAGAUGCCCUGGCCCUCAGAGCCGGCCCCUAUCAAAAAAAAUGGCUUCCCUGGUAAGGAGAGGGCUUCUAAAGACACUCAUCCGCAGCUGCCCUCUGAUGGUCCGGUGGGUCAGCAGCAGCAGGGUCCGUCUCGUGUGGCGGCUGUCGGCCCGUACAUCCAGUCGUCCACCAUGCCUCGCGGCCCAGUGAGACACGAGCUGCUGGUCAAACCUGCUGCCUACCCCGAUGGCACCGCCACCCUGCCCGCACACCCAGAACCCCAGGACAAAGCUAACACAGGUAAGCUGGCAGAGUCCAACAGUAGUAGUCAUGGGCCAUCCUCCAUAGUGCCCAGAAUGACCUCUCACUCCAGCGCAAACACAGAGCAAGGUGAGACGGAGGGGAUGAAGAGGGACCGGCGGGUGCGUCCGUUCUCCAUGUUUGAGCCCACUGAGGUGCCCGCCUCCUCCCUCCGCAAGAACCAGAGCAGUGACGACCUGGUCAGAGACGCCCAGUCUGCUCCUAAAGCUGCAGUCAAGGUGCCCCCACCUGUCGCCAGCAAACCCAAAGCCCCCAGUUGCGCCCCCUAUGGCAAGCCAGGCCUCAACACCGGUACCUUCCCCAAGGCCAAGCCCCCCAGCCAGCAACAGCACUCCCAGGAGGCGGCCCAGGCCCGCGUCCCACUGCCCCCCUCCCAGAGCCAGACCCUGCCCCUGCCCUCCAAGCAGGACCCCCCUCUGGCAGCCACCGUAAGACCCUUCACACCAGAGCUGCCUAAGGACCUGAGCAAGCCCCAGACCCUGGCAGCCAGUUCCAUCUACUCCAUGUACACCCAGCAGCCCACCCCAGGCAAGCCCUACCCACCAGCCAUACAGGGGUCUGUCAACAGGAGCCAGAGCAGAGGCAACGGAUUUGUCAGUGUGUACGGUAAGCCUGUGAUCUCCGGUGGUGGCCCCCAGCAACCAGAGAACCCAUACAGCGAGCAGCGGCACUCCCCAGACCAGCCCUCUGAGGUGGACCACGGGGCCCACCAGGGCCCCCCCACCGAGGGCCAGCAGGGGGAGACAGAGCGCACCCCCCGUCCCCUCAGCCCCACCAAGCUGCUGCCCUUCAUCUCCAACCCCUACCGCCAUCAGAGUGACGGGGACCUGGAGGCCCUCAGGAAGAAGCUGUACAAUGCCCCGCGGCCCCUGAAGAAACGCAGCUCCAUCACAGAGCCCGAGGGCCCCGCAGGGCCCAACAUCCAGAAGCUGCUUUAUCAGAAGACCACGCUGGCUGCCAUGGAGACCAUCCUCACCACGCCCACCACACCCGAGGUUGUAAAGGAGGAGGGACGGGCGUUGCCUGGUGUUCCAGGUGCCCAGAUUGUUGGGGAGAGCAGCCAACCGGGAAGUGUGAAACUGGAGGUGCGUGAAGUCCCUCCUCCCACCCCUAACCACCACCUCCCACCCCCAGCAGAGCAGACUCCCCCACCAGCCAUCCCAGAGGGAGACAGAGAGGAGUUCACCCCCCCCUCCCCAUCCACCCCACCCUGCCCCUCGACCUGACCAGCCCCGCUUCCCCCCCACCGCCCCCUGCUGCUACAGGCAUGGAGGAGCCCAGCCCACCCAGCCUGCACCCUCCUCCAGAGAGUUUCAUGGAAGAAUUCCCCCCCUACCCUCCACCACCCUACCCUAGCGGGGCUGAGCAGGAGAUCCUGGGGGAGGACACCUUCAGCAUGCAGGCACCGGAGGUCACCGGACAGGUCACAUUACCACCGGGGAAGAGGACCAACCUGCGUAAGACCGGCUCCGAGAGGAUCGACCACGGCAUGAGGGUGAAGUUUAACCCCCUGGCCCUGCUCCUGGACUCCUCUCUGGAGGGAGAGUUUGACCUGGUCCAGAGGAUCAUCUACGAGGUGGAGGACCCUAGUCUGCCAAAUGAUGAGGGGAUCACAGCCCUCCACAACGCAGUCUGUGCCGGACACACAGAGAUCGUCAAGUUCCUGGUCCAGUUUGGUGUCAACGUCAACGCAGCCGACAGCGAUGGCUGGACUCCCCUGCACUGCGCGGCCUCCUGUAAUAACGUGCAGGUGUGUAAGUUCCUGGUUGAGUCCGGAGCAGCGGUGUUUGCUAUGACCUACAGCGACAUGCAGACGGCAGCGGAUAAGUGUGAGGAGAUGGAGGAGGGAUACACCCAGUGCUCCCAGUUCCUCUACGGUGUGCAGGAGAAGAUGGGCAUCAUGAACAGGGGCGUGGUGUACGGCCUGUGGGACUACAGCAAUGACAAUUCUGAUGAGCUGGCGUUCCACGAGGGAGACUGCAUGACCAUCGUCCGCCGAGAGGACGAGGACGAGACCGAGUGGUGGUGGGCGGGCACGGGCGACACGGAGGGGUACAUCCCUCGGAACCUUCUGGGGCUUUACCCAAGAAUUAAGCCCAGACAGAGAAGCCUGGCUUAGACGCCCUGUCAAUCCUGAACUGUAAAUAUAGCAGGAGGCAUGGACACUGGUUGCAUCUCAUUGUUCCAAUACCUCUCCUCAUCUUCUCUCCUUCAUCUGCUCUGACCUGUGAAGUAAUAUGAGGGAAGGUUGAGAUGGAGCAACAAUUGAGAUGCAGAUCCACACAGGCUUUAUUUAAUAGGAGCGCACAAGGAGAGGCCAACAAUCACGUGAAGAAACGUUGAGACCAAACCGCAUGAAGGAUUUUAAACUGACCCAAGAACACUACAGACGUGCCUAUGACCACUGACUAUGGCCCAUCUGAGGUACUUUUAUAUACCAGGAGAAGAGGUUUUCCACACUUAUUUUCCCAGACCACUGUGUGUGUAUAACACACUAAAGGCAUUAUGUUUCUCUACAUGUUUGUCGUAUUGGUUUCCGAACAAGUAUCUGCAGUUAUAGAUAUUGGUCAGAAUAUCUGGGGAUAAAUGUAAAAUGGAACAAGCAGUAUUUUUAUGUAGAAAGGUGAUUUUUACACUUAGUUUUUAAAACUGUUAUUCUUUCAUUUUAACCUCGUCAGAAAGAGCUGGAGCUGAACAACGUGUUAGUUGAGUGAAUGAAUGAGUGUAAUACAUGAUGAAUGUGAUGAAUUCUGUAUGAACAGGUAUUCUGUUACCAUGACAAUUCCUGUGUGGGCUCAGUCUGCUUAUGUCAUUUCCUGUUUUUAGUGACUGUGUCCCACUCAGUAUAACUACAAUAGAAGCCCAUGUUUCAGCAUUGACCCUACUGUACUGGCAAGGGUUAGUGUGUGAGUGUGUACCACUUACCACUGUUCAACUUAUCAAACUGGGAAUGAAAUGAUGAAACGUAUGUUAGGUUGGUGAAAUGUAGCCUAUACCACUGUUGAAUGAGCUAUUGCUUUUGACUCUUGUUCUUCGAUGAUGCUAAGAUAGAAAAUAUACUGUACCACAGGCUAAGUGAGCAGAUAUAAGCAGCACUCGUUAUAUUUCUCUACACUGGCUUAAUGGUGGAGAUAUGACAAACGGAUAAGUACUACAGUUGUGUUAUUGUCACAGUAGACAUUCCUCGGAAACUAUGACAUCACUAGUGAAAUCCACGUGUCAUCUGUUUCUAAAAUGGCGCCCCUGCAUUUAAAUGGACCAUUUAGCCAUGUAGGAAGGAUGAGAGGGUAAACUUCAAGGAACCUUAUUCACACGCUAUGUAGCUUGGCUUGAAGAGUAAGAGAUGGUAGAGAUUAAUGCUUAUAAUGUCAGGUCUUUCCUUAAAAUCUCUAAAGGAAGUUUAAUGAAAACUCAAUCAGCUCAUUCAUAGUAAGGAAUUCUGCAUCAACUCGUCUCCAUCCAUACCACUGUCUAUUCAACAGAUGGAUUUAUUUUUGUUACAUUUUAUUAUCGUUCUUUUUUGUCUUGUCAAACUAUAACCUCACAUGUAGAAUUGUAAACAUUUACAAUAAAAUACAGACGUUCCGGAUCCGGUGGCAUGCAUUGAAA